UACAACCUGAACUCAGACGUGAUAC
This 25-nucleotide ribosomal RNA is filed under the name Angiostrongylus vasorum (French heartworm). RNAcentral describes it as "partial 28S ribosomal RNA". The record is from RNAcentral. Lineage: Eukaryota; Metazoa; Nematoda; Chromadorea; Rhabditida; Metastrongylidae.